GCUCGCUUUGGCAAUACACAUGGUAAAACUGGAACAGUACAGAGACGAUUAGCAUGGCCCCUGUGUAAGGAUGACAGGCAGAUUCGUGAAACAUUCCAUUUAAAA
Molecule: small nuclear RNA, 105 nt
Organism: Dama dama (fallow deer)
Lineage: Eukaryota; Metazoa; Chordata; Mammalia; Artiodactyla; Cervidae
Source: RefSeq, a predicted model, not a curated record